This 73-nucleotide transfer RNA is filed under the name Haemaphysalis longicornis (longhorned tick). It matches the Rfam family "tRNA". Rfam says of the family: Transfer RNA (tRNA) molecules are approximately 80 nucleotides in length. Their secondary structure includes four short double-helical elements and three loops (D, anti-codon, and T loops). Lineage: Eukaryota; Metazoa; Arthropoda; Arachnida; Ixodida; Ixodidae. The record is from Rfam by way of RNAcentral.
CCGCCAGUAGCGUAGUGGUUAUCGCACCAGACUGGUAUUCUGGAGGUUGGGGGUUCGGAUCCCACCUGGCGGG